RNAcentral lists this transfer RNA (59 nucleotides) under Cricetulus griseus (Chinese hamster). It matches the Rfam family "tRNA", at positions 7 to 64 of the family's 71-position model. Rfam says of the family: Transfer RNA (tRNA) molecules are approximately 80 nucleotides in length. Their secondary structure includes four short double-helical elements and three loops (D, anti-codon, and T loops). The record is from Rfam by way of RNAcentral. Lineage: Eukaryota; Metazoa; Chordata; Mammalia; Rodentia; Cricetidae.
GUGGCCAAGUGUUAAGGCGUCAGUCUCAUAAACCAAAGAUCAUGGGUUUGAACCCCAUC